AGAGUUUGAUCCUGGCUCAGAACGAACGCUGGCGGCAGGCUUAACACAUGCAAGUUGAACGUGAUUUGCUGGGUGCUUGCACCGAGCAAUGAAAGUAGCGCACUGGUGAGUAACACGUGGGAACGUACCUUUUGGUGGGGAACAACAGUUGGAAACGACUGCUAAUACCGCAUAAGCCCUGAGGGGGAAAGAUUUAUCGCCGAAAGAACGGCCCGCGGAAGAUUAGGUAGUUGGUGGGGUAACGGCCUACCAAGCCGACGAUCUAUAGCUGGUCUGAGAGGACGAUCAGCCACAUUGGAACUGAGACACGGUCCAAACUCCUACGGGAGGCAGCAGUGAGGAAUAUUGGGCAAUGGAGGCAACUCUGACCCAGCCAUGCCGCGUGAGUGAAGAAGGUUUUCGGAUUGUAAAGCUCUUUCGGGUGUGACGAUGAUGACGGUAGCACCUAAAGAAGCCCCGGCUAACUUCGUGCCAGCAGCCGCGGUAAUACGAAGGGGGCAAGCGUUGUUCGGAAUUACUGGGCGUAAAGGGAGUGUAGGCGGUUAUGUAAGAUAGUGGUGAAAUCCCAGAGCUUAACUUUGGAAUUGCCAUUAUGACUAUGUGGCUAGAAUUACAGAGAGGAUAGUGGAAUACCCAGUGUAGAGGUGAAAUUCGUAGAUAUUGGGUAGAACACCAGUGGCGAAGGCGACUAUCUGGCUGUAUAUUGACGCUGAGGCUCGAAAGCAUGGGGAUCAAACAGGAUUAGAUACCCUGGUAGUCCAUGCUGUAAACGAUGAGUGCUUGUUGUCGGUGUAAAAUCGGUGACGAAGUUAACGCGUUAAGCACUCCGCCUGGGGAGUACGGUCGCAAGAUUAAAACUCAAAGGAAUUGACGGGGACCCGCACAAGCGGUGGAGCAUGUGGUUUAAUUCGAUGCAACGCGAAGAACCUUACCAACUCUUGACAUCCUUAUCGGGGAGAUCAGAGAUGAUUUCUUUCAGUUAGGCUGGAUAAGUGACAGAUGCUGCAUGGCUGUCGUCAGCUCGUGUCGUG
Molecule: ribosomal RNA, 1031 nt
Filed under: human gut metagenome
Description: bacterial SSU rRNA
Rfam family: Bacterial small subunit ribosomal RNA
Source: RNAcentral